Molecule: long non-coding RNA, 413 nt
Organism: Hemibagrus wyckioides
Lineage: Eukaryota; Metazoa; Chordata; Actinopteri; Siluriformes; Bagridae
Exons: 3
Source: RefSeq, a predicted model, not a curated record
AAAUUCUCCACCCUUCCUCUGGUACUCGGGGGAACACUUAUGACAAUGAUGAAGGCUUGCCGAGGAAGUUUGCUAGCUUCAAAAGGAGAGUCUUGGAAUCCGUGGAGCUGCAUGGGAAUGGUUUGCUUGCUACCUGGAAGCUUGCCCAUAUCAGCUAACAUGGAGAUACCACGGCUUCUGCUUGGAUCUCGGUGUGUCUGGCAUACAUUUCAUCAUGGAUGAUGGCUCAUCAGCUGAAACUCCCAGCAAAACCCAGGUGAUUCAUCCCCAGAUAAGGAUAUUGUGAUAUCCCUGGACAACUCUCUGAUCUUCCAAAUUCGGCCACUGCUCGCAAUCUUGGGGUAGCCAUGGACAUUCAACUGUCCUUUUUCUGAAACACUUUCGUCUUUAACACAUCAGAAGGAUUUAAUCCA